UAACAAGGAUUCCCCUAGUAGCGGCGAGCGAAGCGGGAAAAGCUCAAAUUUGUAAUCUGGCGUCUACGACGUCCGAGUUGUAAUCUCGAGAAGUGUUUUCCGUGAUAGACCGCAUACAAGUCUCUUGGAACAGAGCGUCAUAGUGGUGAGAACCCAGUACACSAUGCGGAUGCCUAUKASUUUGUGAUACACUUUCGAAGAGUCGAGUUGUUUGGGAAUGCAGCUCAAAUUGGGUGGUAAAUUCCAUCUAAAGCUAAAUAUUGGCGAGAGACCGAUAGCGAACAAGUACCGUGAGGGAAAGAUGAAAAGCACUUUGGAAAGAGAGUUAACAGUACGUGAAAUUGUUGGAAGGGAAACACAUGCAGCCAGACUUGCUAUUCGGGGCAACUCGAUUGGCAGGCCCGCAUCAGUUUUUCGGGGCGGAAAAGCAUAGAGAGAAGGUAGCAAUUUCGGUUGUGUUAUAGCUCUUUAUUGGAUUCGCCCUGGGGGACUGAGGAACGCAGCGUGCUUUUAGCAUAAGCUUCGGCUUAUCCACGCUUAGGAUGCGGGUGUAAUGGCUGUAUAUGACCCGUCUUGAAACACGGACCAAGGAGUCUAACAUGCUUGCGAGUAUUUGGGUGUCAAACCCGGAUGCGCAAUGAAAGUGAAUGGAGGUGGGAAGCGCAAGCUGCACCAUCGACCGAUCUGGAUCUUUUGAGAUGGAUUUGAGUAAGAGCAAGUAUGUUGGGACCCGAAAGAUGGUGAACUAUGCCUGAAUAGGGCGAAGCCAGAGGAAACUCUGGUGGAGGCUCGUAGCGGUUCUGACGUGCAAAUCGAUCGUCAAAUUUGGGUAUAGGGGCGAAAGACUAAUCGA
RNAcentral lists this ribosomal RNA (853 nucleotides) under Sporobolomyces roseus. RNAcentral describes it as "partial large subunit ribosomal RNA". It matches the Rfam family "Eukaryotic large subunit ribosomal RNA", at positions 66 to 938 of the family's 3401-position model. Lineage: Eukaryota; Fungi; Basidiomycota; Microbotryomycetes; Sporidiobolales; Sporidiobolaceae. The record is from RNAcentral.